Molecule: ribosomal RNA, 498 nt
Filed under: uncultured bacterium
Lineage: Bacteria
Description: partial 16S ribosomal RNA
Rfam family: Bacterial small subunit ribosomal RNA
Source: RNAcentral
GACGAACGCUGGCGGCGUGCCUAAUACAUGCAAGUCGAACGAGAGCGACCGGUGCUUGCACUGGUCAAUCUAGUGGCGAACGGGUGAGUAACACGUGGGUAACCUGCCCAUCAGAGGGGGAUAACAUCCGGAAACGGAUGCUAAAACCGCAUAGGUCUUCGAGCCGCAUGGCUUGAAGGGGAAAAGAGGCGCAAGCGUCUGCUGAUGGAGGGACCCGCGGUGCAUUAGGUAGUUGGUGAGGGAACGGCUCACCAAGGCCGUGAUGCAUAGCCGACCUGAGGGGGUGAUCGGCCACAUUGGGAGUGAGACAGGGCCCAAACUCCUACGGGAGGCAGCAGUAGGGAAUCUUCCGCAAUGGACGCAAGUCUGACGGAGCAACGCCGCGUGAGUGAAGAAGGUUUUCGGAUCGUAAAACUCUGUUGUUAGAGAAGAACAAGUGCUAGAGUAACUGUUAGCGCCUUGACGGUAUCUAACCAGAAAGCCACGGCUAACUACGUG